This 407-nucleotide ribosomal RNA is filed under the name uncultured bacterium. RNAcentral's name for it is "partial 16S ribosomal RNA". It matches the Rfam family "Bacterial small subunit ribosomal RNA", at positions 30 to 526 of the family's 1533-position model. The record is from RNAcentral.
AUUGAACGCUAGCGGGAUGCCUUACACAUGCAAGUCGAACGGAGUGGCGAACGGGUGAGUAAUGUAUCGUAACGUGCCCAGUAGCGUGGGAUAACUACGCGAAAGCGUAGCUAAUACCACAUACUAUUAGAGCGGCCGAGAUCGGAUUAGCUAGUUGGUGGGGUAACGGCUAACCAAGGCGACGAUACGUAGCUGGUUUGAGAGGACGACCCGCCACACUGGGACUGAGACACGGCCCAGACUCCUACGGGAGGCAGCAGUGGGGAAUUUUGGACAAUGGGGGAAACCCUGACCCAGCCAUCCCGCGUGUGGGAUGAAGGCCUUCGGGUUGUAAAGCACUGUUGUUAGGAAAGCGGUACCUAAAGAAUAAGCACCGGCUAACUACGUGCCAGCAGCCGCGGUAAUAC